CCUACGGGAGGCAGCAGUGGGGAAUAUUGCACAAUGGGCGCAAGCCUGAUGCAGCCAUGCCGCGUGUAUGAAGAAGGCCUUCGGGUUGUAAAGUACUUUCAGCGGGGAGGAAGGGAGUAAAGUUAAUACCUUUGCUCAUUGACGUUACCCGCACAAAAAGCACCGGCUAACUCCGUGCCAGCAGCCGCGGUAAU
This 194-nucleotide ribosomal RNA is filed under the name uncultured microorganism. RNAcentral describes it as "partial 16S ribosomal RNA". It matches the Rfam family "Bacterial small subunit ribosomal RNA", at positions 338 to 524 of the family's 1533-position model. The record is from RNAcentral.